CCUACGGGAGGCAGCAGUGGGGAAUAUUGGGCAAUGGGCGCAAGCCUGACCCAGCAACGCCGCGUGAAGGAAGAAGGCUUUCGGGUUGUAAACUUCUUUUCUCAGGGACGAAGCAAGUGACGGUACCUGCGGAAUAAGCCACGCCUAAAUACGUGCCAGCAGCCGCGGUAAUACGUAGGUGGCAAGCGUUAUCCGGAUUCACUGGGUGUAAGGGGCGUGUAGGCGGGAAAGCAAGUCAGAUGUGAAAACCAUGGGCUUAACCCGUGGCCUGCAUUUGAAACUGUUGUUCUUGAGUACUGGAGAGGCAGACGGAAUUCCUAGUGUAGCGGUGAAAUGCGUAGAUAUUAGGAGGAACACCAGUGGCGAAGGCGGCCUACUGGACGGUAACUGACGCUGAGGCGCGAAAGCGUGGGGAGCAAACAGGAUUAGAUACCCCAGUAGUC
Molecule: ribosomal RNA, 443 nt
Filed under: uncultured bacterium
Lineage: Bacteria
Description: partial 16S ribosomal RNA
Rfam family: Bacterial small subunit ribosomal RNA
Source: RNAcentral